AUUGAACGCUGGCGGCAUGCUUUACACAUGCAAGUCGAACGGUAACAGGUCUUCGGAUGCUGACGAGUGGCGAACGGGUGAGUAAUACAUCGGAACGUGCCUAGUAGUGGGGGAUAACUACUCGAAAGAGUAGCUAAUACCGCAUGAGAUCUACGGAUGAAAGCAGGGGACCUUCGGGCCUUGUGCUGCUAGAGCGGCUGAUGGCAGAUUAGGUAGUUGGUGGGGUAAAGGCUUACCAAGCCUGCGAUCUGUAGCUGGUCUGAGAGGACGACCAGCCACACUGGGACUGAGACACGGCCCAGACUCCUACGGGAGGCAGCAGUGGGGAAUUUUGGACAAUGGGCGAAAGCCUGAUCCAGCAAUGCCGCGUGCAGGAUGAAGGCCCUCGGGUUGUAAACUGCUUUUAUACGGAACGAAAAGCCUGGGGCUAAUAUCCCCGGGUCAUGACGGUACCUUAUGAAUAAGCACCGGCUAACUCCGUGCCAGCAGCCGCCGUAA
RNAcentral lists this ribosomal RNA (498 nucleotides) under uncultured bacterium. RNAcentral's name for it is "partial 16S ribosomal RNA". It matches the Rfam family "Bacterial small subunit ribosomal RNA", at positions 30 to 523 of the family's 1533-position model. The record is from RNAcentral.